GAUGAACGCUGGCGGCGUGCUUAACACAUGCAAGUCGAACGAAGCACUUUAUUUGAUUUCCUUCGGGACUGAUUAUUUUGUGACUGAGUGGCGGACGGGUGAGUAACGCGUGGGUAACCUGCCUUGUACAGGGGGAUAACAGUUGGAAACGGCUGCUAAUACCGCAUAAGCGCACAGCAUCGCAUGAUGCAGUGUGAAAAACUCCGGUGGUAUAAGAUGGACCCGCGUUGGAUUAGCUAGUUGGUGAGGUAACGGCCCACCAAGGCGACGAUCCAUAGCCGACCUGAGAGGGUGACCGGCCACAUUGGGACUGAGACACGGCCCAAACUCCUACGGGAGGCAGCAGUGGGGAAUAUUGCACAAUGGGCGAAAGCCUGAUGCAGCGACGCCGCGUGAGCGAAGAAAUAUUUCGGUAUGUAAAGCUCUAUCAGCAGGGAAGAUAAUGACGGUACCUGACUAAGAAGCAC
This 467-nucleotide ribosomal RNA is filed under the name uncultured bacterium. RNAcentral's name for it is "bacterial SSU rRNA". It matches the Rfam family "Bacterial small subunit ribosomal RNA", at positions 28 to 493 of the family's 1533-position model. The record is from RNAcentral.